This is a long non-coding RNA of Bos taurus (domestic cattle), 2682 nucleotides long. Lineage: Eukaryota; Metazoa; Chordata; Mammalia; Artiodactyla; Bovidae. The record is from Ensembl.
GAAUAAUUCAGUAUUCAUUCAUUAGUCAAUCAUGUGUUUAUUCCUUCAACAGAUUCCAUGCUAAGUGCUGACGGUAUCAAAUAAGACACAGGCUCGUACUCGGAGGAUGAGUUUCUGCCGUUGCAAAGAUUAUAUGGAAAGGGGAGGAUAAAUUCUUCCUGGUUCUUAAAGUCAGUUGAAUCGCACAAUUUUUUCUCAGCAGUUGCAAGAAUUACAGACUACCUGCUUACUGCUGGUCUGGGAUGUGGCUGCUUAAAGAAUGAAAUCUCAUGACCUGCUGUGGUUAUACCCAGGUGCUGGUGCGAAUGGUCAUUAUCCUGCCUGGCUGGAAGGUCCCUGGAGGGGGAUUUGUGGCAGCAGAAUUCUCACAUUCUCUAGGUGCUGAGGGGGUGUAGAGCUCAGUACGUAGAAAGAAGAGUGCAACUAUCAUUCACUCUGAGGAAGCCAGCUGCCACAUCACGAAGAUCCUCUGGCUAUACUAUGAAGAAACUCCCAUGACAAGGAUCUAAGGCCUCGUGGCCUUAAAAGCCAUGAGAGGGAGCAUCUUGGAGCUGAUCCUCUAUACCCAGCCUUCAGGGGACUGCAGACUGCAAGGCAACAGCUUAACUGGGAGGCCCUGAAUUGGAACCAUCCAACUACCCAGCUGUGCUGCUCUGGGAUCCCUGAACAUCAGAGACUGCCCACUGGCUCUCACCAUUUAUGGAAUUGCCUUGGCUACUCAAGGGACCAGAUGUUCCCUGGGGUUGUGACCCACUGCUCCUGCAUUUAGCCUCCUGGCUGGCUGCUUGCUUGCUUGGACUCAGCCCAGUACAGAUGGCAUUACUGCUAAAUCAGAGAGAAUGACACUCGGUUUCCUGGUCCUCCUUCAAGUUGCUACUUUGUUGGCAGUCAGAGACCUCUAACUCCUUACGGAAGGUGUGGUAUUGAGGAGAAAAGAAGUAACACCAGUGUGAGUUAAGAGGGCGAGAGUGACAAGCCCAGAGGACAACGAGAUGACCAGAUCAACUCCUAUGGAGAAAAAGUGAAGCUUCCCUGAAAGUCUGGAGGAGAUUUGCUCGGUAAAGGCUAGUAAGGGAGAUGCUGCCAUGGAGUGAGGAGGACCCCAGGGACGGCAGAAUGAGGGAAAGAAGUUAUUGAGACCGCUAGUCAUGGAAGCCCGCCCAGUGAUUAAAGCCUUUCUGUCUUCGUCACUCUGCCAGCCAGUGGCCGGUGUGGCUGACAGAUUUCGGAAGGAGAGAGGCGAGCAUAUGGCAGAAUGAGUUUUGAGCCCCAGAGAAAUCUCCCUCGGUUCCCGCUCCAUCUGUGCUUGUGGGUACCUCUCCCCACAGCACAGAGAUGCUGAGCUCAAGACAGGAGGAAUGUAUGACGGGAAAUUACAGAAACAGCUUUGUGUCGUGCUAAGCAUUAGCAAAACACUUCCGUGCCAUAGCACACAUCUCAAACCAAGACUACUAAGGAGCCCAGAUGUAUCUGAGGGCACUUGGAGAGAUUCUUCGAGUUCAGUGCACAAAGAAAACUUCCUGGAUGAAGGCAAUGUGAAAUGAGUGCUGGAAUAUGUCAGUGUUCGGCUUUGGGGUCUGGGGAAGGAUGUGUUGUGUAAAUCAUUGGCCUCCUGGGAAACAUCAGAAAUACAUUUGGAUAGCCAGGGAGUCCUGAGAGGGCUCAAGGCAGGCAAAUCGUUCAGUUGGAAUAUUUCUCAUGUGCACCUUCAACCCAAAACAAUUUUGCUGACAGAGGCCGAAUGAAAGAAAACUGGAGCCAGAGAUGUGUGUUUUAUUGUGCUAAGUGUGCUGUUAGGGCACUUUUAUUAGUUGUUGUUGCUCAGUGGCUAAGUCCAGGCCCACUCUUUGCAACUUCAUGGACUGCCAGUCUCUUUGUCCUCCACCAUCUCCCGGAGUUUGCUCAAAUUCAUGCCCAUUGAGUCGGUGAUGCUAUCUAGCUACCUCAUCCUCUGCCUUCCCUUUCUCCUCCUGCCCUCAAUCUUUUCCAGCGUCAGGGUCCUUUCCAAUGAUGUCUCUGCUUUUUAAUAUGCUGCUUAGGUUUGCCAUAGCUUUCCUUCCAAGGAGCAAGCAUCUUUUAAUUUCAUGGCUGCAGUCACUACCUGCAGUGAUUUUGGAGCCCAAAAAACAAAAAUCUGCAACUGUUUCCAUUUUUCCCCCUUCUAUUUGCCAUUUGGUGAUGGGACUGGAUGCCAUGAUCUUAGUUUUCUCAACGCGAAGUUUCAACCCAGCCUUUUCACUCUUCUCCUUUACCCUCAUCAAAAGGCUCUUUCGUUCUUCUUCACUGCCAUUAGAGUGGUAUCAUCUGCAUAUCUGAGGUUGUUGAUAUUUCUCCUGGCAAUCUUUAUUCCAGCUUGUGAUUGAUCCAGCCCUGCAUUUUGCAUGAUGUACUCUGCAUGUAAGUUAAAUAAGCCAGGUAACAAUAUACAGCUUUGAUGUACUCCUUUCCCAAUUUUGAACCAGUUCCAUGUCUGGUUCUAACUGUUGCUUCUUGGCCCACAUUCAGGUUUCUCAGGAGACAAGGAAGGUGGUCUGGUACUCCUGUUGCUAAGAAUUUUCCACUGUCUAUUGUGACUCACAUAAUCAAAGGUUUUAGUGUACUCAAUGAAACCAAAGUAGAUGUUUUUCUGGAACUCCCUUGCCUUCUCCAUGAUCCAACGAAUGUUGGCAAUUUGAUCUCUUG